RNAcentral lists this ribosomal RNA (492 nucleotides) under uncultured bacterium. RNAcentral's name for it is "partial 16S ribosomal RNA". It matches the Rfam family "Bacterial small subunit ribosomal RNA", at positions 29 to 507 of the family's 1533-position model. The record is from RNAcentral.
AGUGAACGCUGGCGGUAGGCCUAACACAUGCAAGUCGAACGGCAACACAGUAAGAUCUUGCCCUUAACGGUAGCGGGUGACGGACGGGUGAGGCAUACAUCGGCAUCUACUUUUUCGUGGGGGAUAACGUAAGAACGCUUACGCUAAUACCUCAUAUGACCUACGGCAGAAAGCAGUAGAUAUUCGCGCCUUUCGCGAUUGAAUUAGACGGAGUCGGAUUAGCUAGUUGGCGUGGUAAGGGCACACCAAGGCGACGAUCCGUAGCUGGUCUGAGAGGAUGAUCAGCCACACUGGAACUGAGACACGGUCCAGACUCCUGCGGGAGGCAGCAGUGGGGAAUCUUGGACAAUGGGCGCAAGCUUGACGCAGCCAUACCGCGUGGGUGAAGAAGGUCUUCGGAUCGUAAAGCCCUUUUAUUAGGAAAGAAAAGCAGCAGAUUAAUCUACGGCUGUUCUGACGGUACCUAAUCAGUAAGCACCGGCUAACUUCGUG